Molecule: long non-coding RNA, 1460 nt
Organism: Castor canadensis (American beaver)
Lineage: Eukaryota; Metazoa; Chordata; Mammalia; Rodentia; Castoridae
Source: RefSeq, a predicted model, not a curated record
ACCCCGCCUUCCACCGCCUGUGCUCUUUGCAGGUGAACUUCUGGCAGCUAGCCGCCUUGCGGGCCUUCCAGCCGCAGCCUCUGAUUCCCAGCCCCAGGAGAAAAAAGGCCGGAGGGAAAGACGUGGCUCCCCCAGGGCGCGGAGGAACCCAAGCUAAGCGGUGGCCUGCCCUGGCUGGGUGCCCCAAUCUCUCCCCUGAAGCCAGAGACAAGCCCGAGACUGUUUUCUGAGAGACAGCAAGAGCGACACGGGGAAAGAAAAGCAGGCACCGUGACAACCAGUCAACCUCGUGCAUAAGCCAAGGUAAAAGGACUCCUUGUCCAGACCCCUACCUCUUGAAUUCACCAUUCAUCACUUCUAACCUGGAGACCUGGUGCUGGUCAAGACUUAGAAGGAGGACAAGGUCAACCCAGCUGGAAGGCCCCUAUCAAGUGCUCUUGACCAUUUAUAUGGCUAUAUGAACAGAUGAAAAAGGGUGGAUUCAUUACACCUGAGCCAAACGACUGGUAAAGGAAAGCCAGGGAGAAGGGAAGAAGAAUUGGUGGAAAGUAUAUAGGUCUCCCAAGGAACUUCUAAAAGUAACUCUGAGAAAAGCCCUCCUGAUGGCAGGUACAAGAUGGGUCCAUCUCUGGGCAAUGAUGUGGUUACUGUGGGUAGUUAUACAAGGAGUGAAAGGUGGAUACCUGGUUAAAUUAGUGAUUAAUUAGUGAUUAACCAGGACUUUAGGGUCUCAAACUAUCAAAUUUGAUGCCUGCCAGGCUUUGCCUUGUGGAAAUUGAGAAAAAUCAAAGGCAACUCUCAGGGGAGAAUAAGUACUUUUGCUCAGAACCUAUGUGGGGAGAGAAUUUAGGGGGCAUAGUCAGCCUUCCCUAUUCCAGUUGGAGUGAAGUCUGGUGGACAACUGAAUACCAGGGUUGAACUGCUUUUGCCCAAGGGGUUAAUUCCAAACUGGCCCCCUUACAAGCUAAAUUGCAUUUAUCUAAAGGCAGUCCACCAAACAAUUGCCAGAAUUUACAAUGUAACCCCAUACUUUUGACCAUAGACAACUCAACCACCCUAGACCAGGAACCUAAAGUAGCACCACGGGUACGUAGAUUAGGAGCAGACGUCUCAGGAAGGGACCCUCUAGGAGAACUAACCCUCCAGUUGGUCAAGAACACAACCUCACAUCCAUCUGGUGCCAGUACAACCGUAGAUCCUGAUAGGGAGUUUAAUGUCCCAAAUAACAAUCCUAAAAGGGUAGAGAUUGAGACAGCUGUUAAACAAAUGGCCCAUGACCUACCAGCAAAUAAUUUGCUAUUAUUAAAAACUAAAUUAGACUCACUUUCCUAUGAGGGGAAAAUCAAUAGGUUCUGGAGCAAUUUCAAAAGCAAAAAAUAUGAAGCUGGGCACCAGUGGCUCACACCUGUAAUCCUAGCUACUCAGGAGGGAGUGGCUCAAGGUGCUGGCCCUGAGUUAAA